GUAAAGAAAUGUUGCAGUGUUGAAGGCCAAGGUUGGCCUUUGGACCCAGGCGAGUACCUGGGGCUGCCUGGGUUACCCUCUCUGCAUUCUAUGUCAGUCCUGGGUGGGGCAUUGUUUAUUCCUCUGAAUUCUAUAAGGAGAAUCACAGGCAGGCAGAAUUCCUGAAGAGUAUCUCCAAGCCUCAGCCUUCUUCCCUCUAGUUUUGUUCAAAUAUCAAAACUAGUUUUGCUCAGAAGUCAUAGUAUGUUCCUUGACCCACAGAUCUGGUAGCUGGAUUCUUGCAUUGCUUCCCUAUUCUGCUAAAUUACCUGGCAGUGCAGUUCCCGCUAAGAAAAGGUCCUCAAACUCAGCCCAGGGGCUAGGAACCCUUUAUCCACCAAUGGACUAGCUUAAUUCUAUUUGACUGUAUCUCUAGGUCCCAGUUGCUUUGCUCCAUUUGUCCCUGAGCAUGGACUAAGGCAUGGAUCAGUUCUUUGCUCUUUGAAACGAGAUGAUCCAUCUCACACUGAAAGUUUCCUAUCGUGAGGUUCAGUGUCAUCUAGAGUCAACGGAUGAAGUAUAAGUGUUCACUGUGGAAUUUCUACAACACAAAAAGAAGAGGCUGGAUAAAGAAG
Molecule: long non-coding RNA, 614 nt
Filed under: Homo sapiens (human)
Lineage: Eukaryota; Metazoa; Chordata; Mammalia; Primates; Hominidae
Description: HSALNT0378624
Source: RNAcentral